Molecule: long non-coding RNA, 927 nt
Organism: Brassica rapa (field mustard)
Lineage: Eukaryota; Viridiplantae; Streptophyta; Magnoliopsida; Brassicales; Brassicaceae
Source: RefSeq, a predicted model, not a curated record
UUUUGCAUUAACCAUUUUAGAUAAUAUACUGUUGUAAAUAUCAAAAUAAAAUAUUAUUAUAGACGAAUAAUAUUAAAAUUCAACAGAUUUUGUUAUAUUUAUUCUCAAUAAAUUCAUUUUUUUAUUGGAAAGUUUAUUAAGAUUAUGUUAUAUUUAUUCUCAACAGAUUUUUCUUAUAACUAAAAUAAAAAUUUAGAUUUAUAGUUAUUUAAUUACUAUUAAUAUUUUUAUGAAUUCUUAAGAUUUGCUUGGAAUGUUAUAUAUAUUUUUUACAUCACUUGAAAUGUUAUAUAUUUGAUAGAUUAUGACUUUUUAUACAGUAGAUUUUUAGUAUCUCUGUUUUAAUAGAGUAAGAUAUUCAUCAACUGUUUUAGGAUUAUUUUGAAACUCAUAUUGUGCAAAGAAUAUUUUCUGUUGACCAAGACAUUAAGAAAAUAAUUGGAUUAUUUUGUAAUUAUAUUGUCAAUGUACGUUGUAUAAAUAGAUGCUACAACCUAUGCAUCCAUAAUCAUCUCCAUUAAACAGAUUAGUAGGACAAUAUAAACAAAUUAAAUGGAGAAAAUCUCAGCAUUUCUUGUCAUCCUCUUCCUGGUCUCGUCAUGCAUGGUGAAAGUGACUGUGACAAUGCCUGCAAUAAAAUGUCAAACAGAUGAAGAUUGUUUGAAGAAAUAUGGAAGAUGUAAGGUCACAGGGGCUCUGCCCAUUUGCCCUCAUUACAACUGUAUCUGUUACCAUGAAAUGCAUACUCCUUCAUUGUCAACCUCCAACUCUUGAUGUUAUUCAUAUAUAUAUUCGCGUUGAUUUGAAUAAUGAAAAGGCUAUACAUAUAACUCUUUUGUUGUUAUGUUCUCUCCAUGCAUCUUCUUUCUACAAUGUAUCUCUCUAUAAAUCACUACUAUUAAAUUAGGAACAUGACCUAUUGAUAUA